Molecule: unclassified non-coding RNA, 1109 nt
Filed under: Hevea brasiliensis (rubber tree)
Lineage: Eukaryota; Viridiplantae; Streptophyta; Magnoliopsida; Malpighiales; Euphorbiaceae
Source: RNAcentral
AGUAAAGUAAACGAAAGAUACUCAAACCUGAAACAUCGAUUUUGACAGUAGCCAUGAGUGCCAGAAACUUAAUCCUGUUUGUAGCAAUUCUGAUGAUGUUCUCUACUUCAUUCGCCUUAACGAAGGAAGGCAGAAGUUCAUAUUCUGAUAAGGGACCGCCACUACCACCAGCUCCAUAUCAGGAAAGUGCAUGCGACAACUGCAAGACCACCCCUGGCGAUUUUGCAAUUCUUAGUGAUACUCCGGCGAAGUGCCUUCUUCUAGUGAAAGCCACUGGAAAGCGAGAAGCGGAAUCGGAUCCGCAAACAAAUGAAGCCCCAUCCAAUAAAAAGCCGAAAACGGAGCCGCAAAAUCAAAAUCAAGCCAUCAUUACUGCACCUUCUCACGAUCACAGAGAGAAAUCGAAUUGCACCAACAUGAACCAGGAAGACGACAGGUACCCCAAAGCAAUUCCUUUUCCUUCAUGUGAGGAAUUUGUGUCGUGGCAAGAUAGAUGCUUGCAUUUAGACUCCUCUAUCUCAUCACCAAUUUUAUCUCCCGCAACUGAAUUCCCAUUCAAUAACAAAGGAGAACUUGUGAAAGAGCUGAUCCAUGACUACAAUCAUCACGAGUUGAAGCUGGUAAGUUACAGGGAUAUUGUCCUUGGCAGAGGUCAGCCUGUGAACGCUAAAAAUCUCAAGGUGACUUUCCACUAUGAUCUGUAUAAUAAACAUCUUAAGCGCGUUCAAACCAAUGCGUUAGAGCGUUCUGCUGAAGAAGUUCACCUCUGCUGGCAUCGAUUUGGUCAAGGAUUUGAGGAAGGAAUUCGAGGCAUGAGACCAGGGGGGAUAAGAAGGGUUGUUGUCCUUGAACAAUAUCCACCUAUGGUUGAAGAAUAUGGGAUCUUUGAUGUGGCCUUGCUUAAAGUUGAGAUAUCAUGCAGCUGUCCACAACCACAUGCAAACCUGUUCGAUGCUUAGUUUCAUGGUAGUGUUUACUAGAAUAAGAGGAGACCACGUCAACUCCAGUGUAAGAUUAAGAUGCAGCACAUAUGGAGCAAUAAAUGAUAAUAUUUAUGUCUCAAAAUGCUGCGAAAACAUCAAGAAAAUAGUUAAUAAGUGUAUUAAAAU